CGCAUCUGUGCAUGCAGCAUAUCAAUAAGCGGAGGAAAAGAAACUAACAAGGAUUCCCUUAGUAACGGCGAGUGAAGCGGGAAGAGCUCAAAUUUGAAAUCUUCAAGGUUUUACCUUGACGAAUUGUAGUUUAAAGAAGUGUUUUCUGUUGAAGUUUUGGUAAAAGUUCUUUGGAAUAGGACAUCAUAGAGGGUGAGAAUCCCGUAUUUGACCAUUAUUUUCAGCUGUGUGAUACACUUUCAAAGAGUCGGAUUGUUUGGGAAUGCAGUCCAAAAUGGGUGGUAAAUUUCAUCUAAAGCUAAAUAUUGGCGAGAGACCGGAUAGCGAACAAGUACCGUGAGGGAAAGAUGAAAAGAACUUUGAAAAGAGAGUUAAACAGUACGUGAAAUUGUCAAAAGGGAAGCGUUUGACACCAGUGUUGUUUUCUCGAAAAUCAAUUAAAAAGAGUUAGAUUUUGUUGUGUAUUGACCUUAACAGCUUGCAUUUCAAUUUUCUUGCUUUUUUUAAUGCACUUUUCGUUUAACAAGUCAACAUCAGUUUCUUUUGUUGUAAAAAGGUCAUUGGAAGGUGGCUUUCUUUUCGGAGAAAGUGUUUAUAGCCUUUGACUCCUGCAAUCGGAGAGACUGAGGUCUGCAGCGUAGAUCCUUCGGGGUUAGAUACAUUUGUGCUAAGUUAUAGCUUUUUAUAGACAACUUGUUGACUAUGAUUAGUCUUGUAGCUUACUCGCUUAUGCUAUUUUACCUACGCUUAGGAUGUUGAUCUGUAGUGCGUGCGC
This 775-nucleotide ribosomal RNA is filed under the name uncultured Neocallimastigales. Its description in RNAcentral is "partial large subunit ribosomal RNA". It matches the Rfam family "Eukaryotic large subunit ribosomal RNA", at positions 26 to 635 of the family's 3401-position model. The record is from RNAcentral. Lineage: Eukaryota; Fungi; Neocallimastigomycota; Neocallimastigomycetes; Neocallimastigales.